Molecule: ribosomal RNA, 407 nt
Filed under: uncultured bacterium
Lineage: Bacteria
Description: partial 16S ribosomal RNA
Rfam family: Bacterial small subunit ribosomal RNA
Source: RNAcentral
GACGAACGCUGGCGGCGCGCUUAACACAUGCAAGUCGAGCGAAGCGGCGGACGGGCGAGUAACACGUGAGUAACCUGCCUUAGACAUUGGGACAGCCUCGGCAAACCGGGUGUAAUACAAAAUGGUCUAAGAUGGACUCGCGUCCCAUUAGUAGGUUGGCGAGGUAACGGCCCUCCAAGGAGACGAUGGGUAGCCGGGCUUGGAGGGUGAGCGGCCACAUUGGAACUGGGAAGCGGUCCAAACUCUGGAGGAGGCAGGAGUGGGGAAUCUUGCAAAAUGGAGGGAGCGAUGAUGCAGCGAGGCCGCGUGAACGAAGAAGGCUGUCGAGUCGUAAAGUUCUUUUAUAUGGGAAGCGGUACCAUAAGAAAAAGCCCCGGCUAACUACGUGCCAGCCGCCGCGGUAAUUC